Molecule: ribosomal RNA, 254 nt
Filed under: uncultured bacterium
Lineage: Bacteria
Description: partial 16S ribosomal RNA
Rfam family: Bacterial small subunit ribosomal RNA
Source: RNAcentral
UACGUAGGGUGCAAGCGUUGUCCGGAAUUAUUGGGCGUAAAGAGCUCGUAGGCGGUUUGUCGCGUCUGCUGUGAAAAACUCGGGGCUUAACUCCGGGCCUGCAGUGGGUACGGGCAGACUAGAGUGCGGUAGGGGAGACUGGAAUUCCUGGUGUAGCGGUGAAAUGCGCAGAUAUCAGGAGGAACACCGGUGGCGAAGGCGGGUCUCUGGGCCGUAACUGACGCUGAGGAGCGAAAGCGUGGGGAGCGAACAGG